AGUGAACGCUGGCGGUAGGCCUAACACAUGCAAGUCGAACGGCAGCACAGAAGAGCUUGCUCUUACGGGUGGCGAGUGGCGGACGGGUGAGGAAUACAUCGGAAUCUACUUUUUCGUGGGGGAUAACGUAGGGAAACUUACGCUAAUACCGCAUACGACCUACGGGUGAAAGCAGGGGAUCUUCGGACCUUGCGCGAUUGAAUGAGCCGAUGUCGGAUUAGCUAGUUGGCGGGGUAAAGGCCCACCAAGGCGACGAUCCGUAGCUGGUCUGAGAGGAUGAUCAGCCACACUGGAACUGAGACACGGUCCAGACUCCUACGGGAGGCAGCAGUGGGGAAUAUUGGACAAAGGGCGCAAGCCUGAUCCAGCCAUACCGCGUGGGUGAAGAAGGCCUUCGGGUUGUAAAGCCCUUUUGUUGGGAAAGAAAAGCAGCAGGUUAAUACCCCGCUGUUCUGACGGUACCCAAAGAAUAAGCACCGGCUAACUUCGUG
This 491-nucleotide ribosomal RNA is filed under the name uncultured bacterium. Its description in RNAcentral is "partial 16S ribosomal RNA". It matches the Rfam family "Bacterial small subunit ribosomal RNA", at positions 29 to 507 of the family's 1533-position model. The record is from RNAcentral.